Molecule: non-coding RNA, 135 nt
Organism: Triticum aestivum (bread wheat)
Lineage: Eukaryota; Viridiplantae; Streptophyta; Magnoliopsida; Poales; Poaceae
Source: Rfam
AAAGUGCUCCCUCCGUCCCAAAAUUCUUGUCUUAGAUUCGUCUAGAUACAGAUCUAUCAAGUCACAUUUUAGUGUUAGAUACAUACGUAUCUAGACAAAUCUGAGACAAGAAAUUUGGGACAGAGGGAGUAGUUG